CCUACGGGUGGCAGCAGUGGGGAAUAUUGCACAAUGGGCGCAAGCCUGAUGCAGCCAUGCCGCGUGUGUGAAGAAGGCCUUCGGGUUGUAAAGCACUUGCAGCGGGGAGGAAGGCGGUGAGGUUAAUAACCUCAUCGAUUGACGUUACCCGCAGAAGAAGCACCGGCUAACUCCGUGCCAGCAGCCGCGGUAAUACGGAGGGUGCAAGCGUUAAUCGGAAUUACUGGGCGUAAAGCGCACGCAGGCGGUCUGUCAAGUCGGAUGUGAAAUCCCCGGGCUCAACCUGGGAACUGCAUUCGAAACUGGCAGGCUAGAGUCUUGUAGAGGGGGGUAGAAUUCCAGGUGUAGCGGUGAAAUGCGUAGAGAUCUGGAGGAAUACCGGUGGCGAAGGCGGCCCCCGGGACAAAGACUGACGCUCAGGUGCGAAAGCGUGGGGAGCAAACAGGAUUAGAUACCCCGGUAGUC
RNAcentral lists this ribosomal RNA (465 nucleotides) under uncultured Klebsiella sp. Its description in RNAcentral is "bacterial SSU rRNA". It matches the Rfam family "Bacterial small subunit ribosomal RNA", at positions 338 to 795 of the family's 1533-position model. The record is from RNAcentral. Lineage: Bacteria; Pseudomonadati; Pseudomonadota; Gammaproteobacteria; Enterobacterales; Enterobacteriaceae.